Molecule: non-coding RNA, 213 nt
Organism: Pseudoalteromonas citrea
Lineage: Bacteria; Pseudomonadati; Pseudomonadota; Gammaproteobacteria; Alteromonadales; Pseudoalteromonadaceae
Source: Rfam
UUAAAAUUGAAAUAUAGCAUAAAGUGGAUGCCUUGACUCGAAUGUCCGAAGAAGGACGUAUUAAUCUGCGAUAAGCCUAGAGGAGUUGAUAAGAAGCGUUAUAACUCUAGGAUUUCCGAAUGGGGGAACCUAAUACCGGUAAUCGGUAUUGUCUGCUAAGCAGAAGGACACACGGUGAACUGAAAUAUCUAAGUAGCUGUGGAAAAGAAAUCA